ACACUGCACCCAGAUCACUUCAGUAAGAUGAAAUGGUUUGGGUGUCUAUAGUGUCCCCAGACCACUUCAGCUAAUUGAAGUAGUCUGGGUGCUGUGACCCUUUU
Non-coding RNA from Pelobates cultripes (western spadefoot toad), 104 nucleotides. Lineage: Eukaryota; Metazoa; Chordata; Amphibia; Anura; Pelobatidae. The record is from the annotation of a GenBank genome assembly.